RNAcentral lists this ribosomal RNA (251 nucleotides) under uncultured prokaryote. RNAcentral describes it as "partial 16S rRNA". It matches the Rfam family "Bacterial small subunit ribosomal RNA", at positions 525 to 775 of the family's 1533-position model. The record is from RNAcentral.
ACGGAGGGUGCAAGCGUUAAUCGGAAUUACUGGGCGUAAAGGGCGCGUAGGUGGUAUCUUAAGUUGGGUGUGAAAGCCCCGGGCUCAACCUGGGAAUUGCAUCCAAAACUGGGGUACUAGAGUGUGGUAGAGGGUAGCGGAAUUUCUGGUGUAGCGGUGAAAUGCGUAGAUAUCAGAAGGAACAUCAAUGGCGAAGGCAGCUACCUGGGCCAACACUGACGCUGAGGCGCGAAAGCAUGGGGAGCAAACAG